This 596-nucleotide ribosomal RNA is filed under the name Burkholderia sp. RNAcentral's name for it is "bacterial SSU rRNA". It matches the Rfam family "Bacterial small subunit ribosomal RNA", at positions 158 to 749 of the family's 1533-position model. The record is from RNAcentral. Lineage: Bacteria; Pseudomonadati; Pseudomonadota; Betaproteobacteria; Burkholderiales; Burkholderiaceae.
CCGGAUUAAUACCGCAUACGAUCUACGGAUGAAAGCGGGGGACCUUCGGGCCUCGCGCUAUAGGGUUGGCCGAUGGCUGAUUAGCUAGUUGGUGGGGUAAAGGCCUACCAAGGCGACGAUCAGUAGCUGGUCUGAGAGGACGACCAGCCACACUGGGACUGAGACACGGCCCAGACUCCUACGGGAGGCAGCAGUGGGGAAUUUUGGACAAUGGGCGAAAGCCUGAUCCAGCAAUGCCGCGUGUGUGAAGAAGGCCUUCGGGUUGUAAAGCACUUUUGUCCGGAAAGAAAUCCUUGACCCUAAUACGGUCGGGGGAUGACGGUACCGGAAGAAUAAGCACCGGCUAACUACGUGCCAGCAGCCGCGGUAAUACGUAGGGUGCGAGCGUUAAUCGGAAUUACUGGGCGUAAAGCGUGCGCAGGCGGUUUGCUAAGACCGAUGUGAAAUCCCCGGGCUCAACCUGGGAACUGCAUUGGUGACUGGCAGGCUAGAGUAUGGCAGAGGGGGGUAGAAUUCCACGUGUAGCAGUGAAAUGCGUAGAGAUGUGGAGGAAUACCGAUGGCGAAGGCAGCCCCCUGGGCCAAUACUGACGCUCA